UACAGAGGUCUCGAGCGUUGUUCGGAUUCAUUGGGCGUAAAGGGUGCGUAGGCGGCGGGGUAAGUCUGAUGUGAAAUUCCAGGGCUCAACCUUGGGACUGCAUUGGAUACUGCCUUGCUCGGGAACUGGAGAGGAGACUGGAAUUUACGGUGUAGCAGUGAAAUGCGUAGAGAUCGUAAGGAACACCAGUGGCGAAGGCGAGUCCCUGGACACUUCCUGACACUGAGGCACGAAAGCUAGGGGAGCAAACAGG
This 253-nucleotide ribosomal RNA is filed under the name uncultured bacterium. Its description in RNAcentral is "partial 16S ribosomal RNA". It matches the Rfam family "Bacterial small subunit ribosomal RNA", at positions 524 to 776 of the family's 1533-position model. The record is from RNAcentral.